Long non-coding RNA from Papaver somniferum (opium poppy), 428 nucleotides. RefSeq lists it as uncharacterized. Lineage: Eukaryota; Viridiplantae; Streptophyta; Magnoliopsida; Ranunculales; Papaveraceae. The transcript has 2 exons. The record is from RefSeq and is a predicted model, not a curated record.
CCAAUAUCGUAUGACGAGCUCAGGAGAUGGUCAUUGCACGUCAAGUGCUCCCAAGGAAGCCACUAGUGCCAAUAAGGAAGCUAAUGGAGUGGAGGGUAAAACUGUUUGAAAAUGUUUAAAGUCCAUUCCCUGUUGCCUCGUGAAGGAAAGGUAGUUAUGCACCAGUCUUCUCUCAUUUGGCAGAAGUCUGCUCUAGUUUCUUUUUUGUCCCAUUCAAAUUCUUUUGUACAUACUGUAAUCUGGAUAUUUCUAACGCAGAGAGUCCGUUUUGGUUCAUUAUCAGUAUUCAAUUCAGUCUCGUGUUUAACUAUUUUCUACCGAAUGUAUGCAUCACAUGCUUUUGUGAUUGGCGUAAGGAUGGAUCUUAAUCCAUCACAAACUGUUAUUGGUUGCGGUCCUUGAUCUUUAACGUUACAAUAUUUUACAUA